UNGUGGCUUUCUUGCUUAGCCAGGUGACA
This 29-nucleotide non-coding RNA is filed under the name Homo sapiens (human). The record is from RNAcentral. Lineage: Eukaryota; Metazoa; Chordata; Mammalia; Primates; Hominidae.